UGUUUGUGACGUGUAAACUGGAAAACGAAACUAAAGACACUGGAUUUCCCAAGAAAGCAUUCGCUUGACAGGACAUACAGAUACCUCGGUUUGAAUUUGAUGGCAGUUUCUGUAGUCACGGUCGACACACUUCACAUUUUCUGCAUAAUAUAUCUAAGGAAAAUUACCAGACUGAGCGUUACUUUAAUCCAGACAAUAACUGAUUCGUGAACGUCGGCACACUGUUCGAAGACGAGAUUAACAAAUGUCUCAAUCCAAACCGCUCCUAAUCCCUUGGCUGCGCGAACAGAUAAAUAGUGGCCAGUAUCCAGGGGUUACCUGGACCAAUCAGGAGCGAACAGAGUUCUGCAUCCCUUGGAAACAUGCUUUGAGGCAGGAUUCCUGCAGCGAUGAUGUACUUAUUUUCAAGGCGUGGGCUGAGGUUAGCAAUGGUAGGGUUCAAGGUGACCCCUCCAUUUGGAAGAGAAACUUCCGUUCUGCCCUCCGAGCCAAGGGGUUCAAAAUGCUCCUUGACAAUAAAAAUGAUGCAGCCAACCCCAACAAACUGUUCCAGUGGCCAGAUGAGGCACCCACGGGAGGAUCUCAGCACCCAGAACAUGAUCUGUAUCAAGAUCCCAGUCCAUUACAAGAAAGUGAUGGUCUACCAUGUUUGAAUGACCUUUACCAUGCAGCAGAAGAAACUGUAUACACAGCAGAGGGGAUCUCAACCACUUUCAACCAGGAUAUACUUCAGAAAUGUCUGCAAGGGUUGAACAUUGAACAAACAGCUGGGAACCAACCGUUCCAAUGUGGCACUCUAGACCAGGGGUCUCCAACAGAGGCUAUUCAGGGUUAUGAACUCACCGUCGAGCAACGGCAAUAUCCAAUGGAGGGUGCGAUUGGAGGGCAUGUUUUGCAAGGGCAACAGCAGUAUCCGGUUGUAAUGGAGGAUGCUGUGGGAGGAGCCGUGUUGCCCCCGCAACCGGUGUAUCCAAUGGAUGGACCCGUAGGUGGUGCCCAUGAACAGCAGGUGGUGGAGCAGUUCACAAAUGAAUUGUCCAGAACCAUGGUGGGCGAAAAUUUUAAGACUCACUUCAGGGUUUCUGUGUACUACCGGGGAUUGAAGAUGCUUGAGCAGCUGGUUGAGAACGAGGCAGGGUUCAGAUUAGUCUACAGACCUGAACUUACACAACCGCUUCUGGACCCAGACUCUGGCCUGAAUCUGGUCUCUCUGCCCAGUCCACCGCCUGUUCGGGAUGAAACUCAGGCCAAACUGACCCAAGAUAUCCUGGCUCUCCUGGGAGAGGGCCUGGAGGUGGGUGCCUCCGGGCCCAUCAUCUACGGACUCCGUAAGGGUGGAAUUAAGGCCUUCUGGAGCCUUGACAAGUUUGACAAGAGCAGGAGGCCCCAGGCAGUGUCCAAAUUCCCGGAACCACUAUAUCAGGCCAAGGACUUCUAUGGAGGGCUGUUGAAGUUCAUGGACAGUCAUAGAGGAGAAUGUCCCCCCUUUUCUCUAUUCUUCUGUCUGGGAGAGAAGUGGCCAGACCCGGACAACAGACCCUGGGAGAAGAAACUGGUCAUGGUCGAGGUGGUGUUAACCGCUCUGGAGCUACUGAAGUCAAUAGCGGUGGAAGGUGGUGCCUCCUCUCUGCAGUCUGUGGAACUGCAGCUGUCCUUGCAGGAGUCCCUGCAGGAGAUGAUGGACUUGUGCUAAAGAGGGACUGAUCCACCUACUGUAUAAGGUUUCGCUGUGGAAAAUGUACAAAUUCUGAUUAUCCCUUCUAUCAUAAAGUUUACUAUUUUGUAUGACCAUAUUUGAUCAACUGUUCGGUACCAAAACAACAGGGUCAAGCAAUGGCGACAAGGUUGUCAAGGCAUAUCUUGAAACUUAAUAACAAAAUCAGGGCAUCAAUAAAACUGAAUAACCUGAAGAGGCGUGCAGUACCAUUCUCCAAUCUCCCUCAACUGCUGACUUUCAAGGUGACAAUCAAUCUGGAGGGUGCUGUCUGGAGCCAAUGUGGGGAGAGUUUCUGUUUAACCUCAAACAAAAUCAAGCUUUUCUUGGUAUGAGAAAGCUUGAAUGUAGACCUUACCACAUUGCUCAUUAAUGUUUAUUUAAAUGAUCAGACUGUUCUUCCUUGUCUUUGUCAUGGAAAAAUGUUUGGAUUUCAAGGUCUUUAUACUGUAAUUGUAAAUAACAUUUAUCAAAUGAAUGUUAUCACUCUCUCCUUGGUGAGGAUCACAGGACAACAGAUAGCCCAAACCCCCUCUCUCCCAGAGGAGAGGGGGAGUUGGGCCAGUUUUAUGACUUAACAACCAGUCAUAAACUUUCUCUCUCUUGCACUGCAGUAUGGAGAAGUUAAAAAUCCCUUUGUUACAACAGAGAGAGACUUUGCCUAAACUUCAAACAAUGAACAUUGGGAAAAUAUAUUUCACUAUCCAAAUGUUGAGAAUUAUGACAGAUAUGGAAAAUGUAUGUCUAUUUGUGAUGUUAUUAAAAUUAUCAGAAAGACUGUAUGACAAGAUAAGUGUACACGUCCUAAUUAACCCAUUUACAUCUACAUUUUGUAAAACUUGUAUGAUUAAAUAUGAAACUAUUUGUGAAAAGAUAGCAAUGUGAUUUUAUCCUUUUAAAUGAGAAUUGGUUUUCUUGCAAAACUUGUGCCAGUCAGUAGCCACACCCAAGUGAGCUCAGAGUUCGUGUCAACAUGAUGUGCUUAAAAGGACUCAUAACGAAAUGUACAUCAGACCAGUCCGCGUGGAGCGGUGGCUACACGGCUGGAAAUGGUUAAAACUACAAGACCAGAAAAUGGUAAGACCCUCUGAAACUCUCGACGAGUGAUAACGGUGAAAACUAGACUAAAACAUGCACCACCUGCAGCUCUGCAUGUAACGUGGUCUAGGACAAUUGACCAAGACGAGAGGGAAGGAAACAUUCCUCUCACCAUCAAAGAUUCCUCUGAAGUACCUGUUCUAACGAACAUAGGGAAAUACAGAUCCCUAAGGACACAGCGUGGUACACCCCUGAUGUAUACAUUCUAAUGAACACACCAGAACAAAAGAAUCCUACAACUAAGAAGGACAUUAUGACCUCUGGUGGACAACCAGAGACUUACACAACCAGAGACCUACAUCGAACCAGAUCCCAUAGACGGAUCGAGUUCAACAGAGAGACAAAGACAUCCACGCGUAAAUAUAUACAUUGCAAAUAUUUUCCAAUGAGUGGUCGUUCAUCUGCAAAGUAUUCAUAUUCCCAUGAGCAUAGCUUUCCAUGUAUGUACGAUAAGUCCACUCUCUUUGUCUCUCCCGCUCUUUAUCUUUCCCCACCCCCUUUCCAUUGUGUAACAAGCCGUCAUAUCGGGUUAGUCCACCAGGGGAUUUUCAUUGCAUUAUAUUAGUAAUCAAUAUAACCUAUACCGUGUGUUUAUGUAAUUCUGUGUGAUUAUUUAGUUAGUAAAUAAACAAUUAAACCAA
Molecule: non-coding RNA, 3453 nt
Organism: Salmo salar (Atlantic salmon)
Lineage: Eukaryota; Metazoa; Chordata; Actinopteri; Salmoniformes; Salmonidae
Source: RefSeq, a predicted model, not a curated record